This 253-nucleotide ribosomal RNA is filed under the name uncultured bacterium. RNAcentral describes it as "partial 16S ribosomal RNA". It matches the Rfam family "Bacterial small subunit ribosomal RNA", at positions 524 to 776 of the family's 1533-position model. The record is from RNAcentral.
UACGUAGGGGGCUAGCGUUGUCCGGAAUCAUUGGGCGUAAAGCGCGUGUAGGCGGCCAGGUAGGUCGGCUGUGAAAACUCGAGGCUCAACCUCGAGCUGUCGGCCGAAACCAUCUGGCUAGAGUCCGGAAGAGGAGAGUGGAAUUCCCGGUGUAGCGGUGAAAUGCGCAGAUAUCGGGAAGAACACCCGUGGCGAAGGCGGCUCUCUGGGACGGUACUGACGCUGAGACGCGAAAGCGUGGGGAGCGAACAGG